This 319-nucleotide ribosomal RNA is filed under the name Legionella pneumophila. RNAcentral describes it as "partial 23S ribosomal RNA". It matches the Rfam family "Bacterial large subunit ribosomal RNA", at positions 1185 to 1507 of the family's 2925-position model. The record is from RNAcentral. Lineage: Bacteria; Pseudomonadati; Pseudomonadota; Gammaproteobacteria; Legionellales; Legionellaceae.
AACUAGUCACCGAAGCUGCGGAUGUGCGCGAAGGCGCACGUGGUAGGGGAGCGUUCUGUAGGCUGAUGAAGGUGCAUUGAGAAGUGUGCUGGAGGUAUCAGAAGUGCGAAUGCUGACAUGAGUAACGAUAAUGUGGGUGAAAAGCCCACACGCCGGAAGUCCCAGGUUUCCUGCACGACGUUAAUCGGAGCAGGGUGAGUCGGCCCCUAAGGCGAGGCUGAAGAGCGUAGUCGAUGGGAACCAGGUUAAUAUUCCUGGACUUUUUAUAAGUGGUGAAGUGGGGACGAAGAAGGCUAGGUGAGCCAGGCGUUGGUUGUCC